CUCUGUAUGUCUGUCUCUGUCACUAUAUGUCAUUCUCUGUAUGUCUGUCUCUGUCAAAAACUGAAAUUGAAUGUAUUGUAAUAUCACAAUAUUUGAAAUUCCUAACCAGAGGGGAUAGAGAGAUGGGAGUCUUGGAUUAUAGGAAUGUUUUACGGAGAUAAAAGCUAAAUUAUUCUGUUGUGUAUGGUUCUGUUCUCUCAGGGUGGGUAAGUCUCCAGGACAAGCCAGGAAAGUACAGAAGAAGCCAAAGAGCCCUCCCACUAACAGGAUCCUGAAGCCAAGUCAGGGUCAGAAUGCCUCUGUCCCAGGUCAGCUCAACCGACAGGGUCUGUGUGUCAGGAGCUGGUACAGAAAUACUCCGGAGGACAGAGUGAGGCGCUCAGACAGCCUGAAGAAUCAUAACUCCCUGAGCUAACUGGUUAUUCCCUCAGUCCCUCUAUGACCCCUCACUCCCUGACCUUUGAUCCUUGACCUCUGGGCCUUCUAUCAGCCCCAUGUUGUACUAUGGUUCGACUACCACCACUGCUACUAGUCCCUCUAACCUCCCUCUAACCUCCCUCUGACCUCCCUCUAACCUCCCUCUAACUUCCCUCUAACCUCCCUCUG
This is a long non-coding RNA of Oncorhynchus tshawytscha (Chinook salmon), 606 nucleotides long. RefSeq lists it as uncharacterized. The record is from RefSeq and is a predicted model, not a curated record. The transcript is spliced from 3 exons. Lineage: Eukaryota; Metazoa; Chordata; Actinopteri; Salmoniformes; Salmonidae.